Molecule: long non-coding RNA, 307 nt
Organism: Stomoxys calcitrans (stable fly)
Lineage: Eukaryota; Metazoa; Arthropoda; Insecta; Diptera; Muscidae
Exons: 3
Source: RefSeq, a predicted model, not a curated record
UAUUUGUGAAUGAAUUAUAAAUAACAUCUUUUCUAAUCUAAAUCUAAUCUACUCGGAGAGAAUAUUGGUUAGAUCGGACCAUGGUAAGAUACAGCUGCCAUAGAGUCCGAUCUUUGAACUCAUAAAAGUUUAUUAUCCAUAUACAAAUUACAUUACUUGGAAAACUGCGCUGAGGACGAAAGAUAACAAAAGUGCAUCUAGAUUUCAUGGUAUUGUACGCAAAAUGCUAAGAUAGACCAAGUCCCCGACAAUGAAGAGAGGCUCGUAAUGGAAACGACAAUUUUUCUUCUAUUCUAUCGAAUCCUGG